RNAcentral lists this ribosomal RNA (218 nucleotides) under uncultured bacterium. RNAcentral describes it as "partial 16S ribosomal RNA". It matches the Rfam family "Bacterial small subunit ribosomal RNA", at positions 335 to 526 of the family's 1533-position model. The record is from RNAcentral.
CGCCUCCCUCCGCCGCCACUCAGACUACCGUACGGGAGGCGAGCGAGGUAGGGAAGUAGUUGCGCAAGUGGAACGAAAGUCUGACGCAGCGACGCCGCGUGUGGGAUGAAGCCUUCGGGUGUAACCACUGUUGCCGGGACGAACUCUCCUUUCGAGGAGAUUGACGGUACCGGGUGAGGAAGCACCGGCUAACUCUGUGCCAGCAGCCGCGGUAAUAC